Electrophorus electricus (electric eel) is the source of this 645-nucleotide long non-coding RNA. RefSeq lists it as uncharacterized. NCBI's taxonomy places the organism in Eukaryota, Metazoa, Chordata, Actinopteri, Gymnotiformes, Gymnotidae. The record is from RefSeq and is a predicted model, not a curated record.
UGGCAAAUAGGCAUACGGCACCCAUUAACCUUAAAGGUUUUACUCGAUUACUUUGGCCUAUUUUUCAGUACAUGGGUAAUUCAGUCUUUCAAGCUUUUAUUUUGAAAAUCGCGCACCAGGUGAUUGGCUACGGAAACGCGGUAGUUAGCUCGAGGGCUAAGUGCAAGUCUUCCCAAAUAGCUCAAACGGAGCUGCCACAAAAAAAGUAGUUUGGUUAAGUACUGAAGACAGUGUAAACAACUGACUAGUAUGGCAAAUGGUGUUAUAAAAUGGAGUAAGCGCGCAUCACUGAUGUAUGCAAUCGGAAUUUGGACUAUGUGUGGGUCAUAUGGAUUUUAUAGCUAUAUGCACAGAAAUUGCCCUCAAGUUGAAACACCUAAAGAGGAAGAACCCACAAGGCCAAAUGUGAAAACAUUUAAGUCUGCAAAUAUGUCAGCCACAAUAGUCUACAAAGAAAAUUUUGUUCCUUACUCCACCAGACUGCUAAAACUUUUCGGCCUGACAUCCAGCAGCUCUUCGGGAAGUCAAGCUGAUGACAAAUAGAAUUCAUAUAUGGAUAAAAAAAAAUGAAAAUGUAAAGAAUAGCAAUUGCACUACUCUGUAUUUACUCAGUUUGCAAAAAUAAAAAUCAACAGAUUCCUGUCA